GGCGUGCCGGCGAUUAUUCGAACGUUUGAACCGGAGAGGAGGCGAAGGGUUCCUGAGAGCGGGAAUUCUGAAGGAUCCUGCUGCUUGUUUGUGCUACGGGGAGUUACUGUUGACUUAUUGUCGGACCGGAGGAACACCGUUUUUGACGUCUGUUCUUCUAACCAAUUUCUUAACCAGUGAUAACGGAGCACGAAGACCUCAAGUUUCUGAGACUUAAAGACAAAACAGUUGGAGGCUGCCGCCAUCUUACCAGCGUGUGACACAGGACUGCCCCAACUGGCCAGAUAUAAUUCUCUCAGACUUCAGAACAAGAGAGCAAUGACCAAACUGGCAUAACAGUAAAAUGUUUAAAUCCUGGAUUUUAACGCCGUGUCCCUGGCAACCUCCGCAUCAACUCCCGGGUUAACAGCUCCUUUCGUCGGUGUGACAUGCAAGGUAAGUUCAUGUUUUACCUAAUUACCGAAAA
Aplysia californica (California sea hare) is the source of this 466-nucleotide long non-coding RNA. RefSeq lists it as uncharacterized. The record is from RefSeq and is a predicted model, not a curated record. The transcript is spliced from 2 exons. NCBI's taxonomy places the organism in Eukaryota, Metazoa, Mollusca, Gastropoda, Aplysiida, Aplysiidae.